GAAAUGCGAUAAGUAAUGUGAAUUGCAGAAUUCAGUGAAUCAUCGAAUCUUUGAACGCAUCUUGCGCUCCUUGGUAUUCCUUGGAGCAUGCCUGUUUGAGUAUCAUGAAAUCUUCAAAGUAAAUCUUUUGUUAACUCAAUUGGUUUCUACUUUGGUAUUGGAGGUCUUUGCAGCUUCACACCUGCUCCUCUUUGUUCAUUAGCUGGAUCUCAGUGUUAUGCUUGGUUCCACUCGGCGUGAUAAGUUAUCUAUCGCUGAGGACACUGUAAAAGGUGGCCAAGGUAAAUGCAGAUGAACCGCUUCUAAUAGUCCAUUGACUUGGACAAUACUUUUAUGAUCUGAUCUCAAAUCAGGUAGGACUACCCGCUGAACUUAAGA
Molecule: unclassified non-coding RNA, 378 nt
Filed under: plant metagenome
Description: partial contains 5.8S ribosomal RNA, internal transcribed spacer 2, and large subunit ribosomal RNA
Rfam family: 5.8S ribosomal RNA (bases 1-105)
Source: RNAcentral